UGAACGCUGGCGGCGUGCCUAAUACAUGCAAGUCGAGCGAACAGACGAGGAGCUUGCUCCUCUGACGUUAGCGGCGGACGGGUGAGUAACACGUGGAUAACCUACCUAUAAGACUGGGAUAACUUCGGGAAACCGGAGCUAAUACCGGAUAAUAUAUUGAACCGCAUGGUUCAAUAGUGAAAGACGGUUUUGCUGUCACUUAUAGAUGGAUCCGCGCCGCAUUAGCUAGUUGGUAAGGUAACGGCUUACCAAGGCAACGAUGCGUAGCCGACCUGAGAGGGUGAUCGGCCACACUGGAACUGAGACACGGUCCAGACUCCUACGGGAGGCAGCAGUAGGGAAUCUUCCGCAAUGGGCGAAAGCCUGACGGAGCAACGCCGCGUGAGUGAUGAAGGUCUUCGGAUCGUAAAACUCUGUUAUUAGGGAAGAACAAAUGUGUAAGUAACUAUGCACGUCUUGACGGUACCUAAUCAGAAAGCCACGGCUAACUACGU
RNAcentral lists this ribosomal RNA (494 nucleotides) under uncultured bacterium. RNAcentral's name for it is "partial 16S ribosomal RNA". It matches the Rfam family "Bacterial small subunit ribosomal RNA", at positions 30 to 506 of the family's 1533-position model. The record is from RNAcentral.